CUUUUAGAAUUAAUUAAAAGUCGGGCCUGCCCACUGAAUAAUUAAAGGGCCGCGGUAUUCUAACCGUGCAAAGGUAGCAUAAUCAUUAGUUUUUUAAUUGAGAGCUGGAAUGAAUGGUUUGACGAAAUAAUGACUGUCUUGAAUUGAUUAAUUGAAAUUUAUUUUUAAGUUAAAAAGCUUAAAUAUUGGUUGGGGACGAGAAGACCCUAUAGAUCUUGACAUGAGAUUUGAAUUUAAGUAUGAAGAGUAGAAAAUUUAUAUUGAAAUUUUAUGUUUUGUUGGGGUGAUAUGAGAAUAGAGAAACUUCUUUUAAUAUUAACGAAAAUUAUUGGAUAAUUGAUCCUUUAUUAUGGAAGAAAGAUUAAGAUACCUUAGGGAUAACAGCGUAAUUUUAUUGGAGAGUUCUUAUUGAUAAUGAAGAUUGCGACCUCGAUGUUGGAUUAAGAUUAUAAUUAGGUGCAGUAGUUUAAUUUAUAAGUCUGUUC
Molecule: ribosomal RNA, 485 nt
Filed under: Cophonemobius faustini
Lineage: Eukaryota; Metazoa; Arthropoda; Insecta; Orthoptera; Trigonidiidae
Description: partial 16S ribosomal RNA
Rfam family: Bacterial large subunit ribosomal RNA
Source: RNAcentral